UUCUUCUUUAUAGCUUCUAUUUCUUUGCUGAGACAUUCUAUUUUAUCCUGUGUUUCAAGAGUGCUUGUAAUUAUUCAUUGAAGCAUUUUUAUCAUGGCUGUUUUAAGAAUUAUUGUCAAACUUCUCAAAUAAUUCUAACAUCCCUGUCAUCUUGGUAUUGGCAUCUACUGAUUGUCUUUUUUCAUUCAACUUGAGAUUUUCCUGGUUCUUGAUAUGAUGAGUGAUUUUCUCUUGAAAUAUGGACAUUUUUCCUAUAUAAGACUCUGGAUCUUACUGAAUCUUUCUGUUUCAGCUUCCAGUCACUGACAUGGCUCUGGCGGGGAAACAGGGGAGGUGCUGUUGCUGUCCCGGCACUUCCAGGUGUAGAUGCAGGUUCCUCGCUUGGUUCUCCUGACACCUGAGGAUGACAUAGCACAAAGGCCUUUGCCAGACGCCAUCACCAUACUCUUGGACUUCUUAGCCUCCAGAAUUGUGAGUCAAAUAAAUUUCCGUUCAUUACAAAUUA
This is a long non-coding RNA of Homo sapiens (human), 505 nucleotides long. RefSeq lists it as uncharacterized. The transcript has 2 exons. NCBI's taxonomy places the organism in Eukaryota, Metazoa, Chordata, Mammalia, Primates, Hominidae. The record is from RefSeq and is a predicted model, not a curated record.